This 319-nucleotide ribosomal RNA is filed under the name uncultured eukaryote. Its description in RNAcentral is "partial 18S ribosomal RNA". It matches the Rfam family "Eukaryotic small subunit ribosomal RNA", at positions 1470 to 1796 of the family's 1831-position model. The record is from RNAcentral.
CCCUUAGAUGUUCUGGGCCGCACGCGCGCUACACUGAUGAAUUCAACGAGCACUAACCUGUGCCGAAAGGUUCGGGUAAUCUUGUGAAAUUUCAUCGUGAUGGGGAUUGAUUAUUGCAAUUUUUAAUCAUAAACGAGGAAUGCCUAGUAAGCGUGAGUCAUCAGCUCACGUUGAUUACGUCCCUGCUCUUUGUACACACCGCCCGUCGCUCCUACCGAUGGGUGAUCCGGUGAAUGAUUCGGACUUCAGCGGCUCCCCUGGGGUGCGCCGGAGAAAGUUUUGUGAACCUUAUCACUUGGAGGAAGGAGAAGUCGUAACA